GGAUUAGCGGCGAACGGGUGAGGAACACGUGAGGAAUCUGCCUUCAACACUGGGAUAACUCCGGGAAACCGGGGCUAAUACCGGAUACGAGACCUGCAGGCAUCUGCGGGUCUGGAAAGUUUUUCGGUUGAAGAUGACCUCGCGGCCUAUCAGCUUGUUGGUGAGGUAAUGGCUCACCAAGGCGACGACGGGUAGCCGGCCUGAGAGGGCGACCGGCCACACUGGGACUGAGACACGGCCCAGACUCCUACGGGAGGCAGCAGUGGGGAAUAUUGGGCAAUGGAGGGAACUCUGACCCAGCGACGCCGCGUGCGGGAUGAAGGCCUUCGGGUUGUAAACCGCUUUCAGCAAGGAAGAAGCGAAAGUGACGGUACUUGCAGAAGAAGCACCGGCUAACUAUGUGCCAGCAGCCGCGGUAAUACAUAGGGUGCAAGCGUUGUCCGGAAUUAUUGGGCGUAAAGAGCUCGUAGG
Molecule: ribosomal RNA, 471 nt
Filed under: uncultured Actinomycetes bacterium
Lineage: Bacteria; Bacillati; Actinomycetota; Actinomycetes
Description: bacterial SSU rRNA
Rfam family: Bacterial small subunit ribosomal RNA
Source: RNAcentral